RNAcentral lists this ribosomal RNA (468 nucleotides) under uncultured bacterium. RNAcentral's name for it is "partial 16S ribosomal RNA". It matches the Rfam family "Bacterial small subunit ribosomal RNA", at positions 28 to 507 of the family's 1533-position model. The record is from RNAcentral.
GACGAACGCUGGCGGCGUGCUUAACACAUGCAAGUCGAACGGAAAGGCCCUGCUCUUGUGGGGUGCUCGAGUGGCGAACGGGUGAGUAACACGUGAGUAACCUGCCCUUGACUUUGGGAUAACUUCAGGAAACUGGGGCUAAUAUCGGAUAGGAGCUCCUGCUGCAUGGUGGGGGUUGGAAAGUUUCGGCGGUUGGGGAUGGACUCGCGGCUUAUCAGCUUGUUGGUGGGGUAGUGGCUUACCAAGGCUUUGACGGGUAGCCGGCCUGAGAGGGUGACCGGCCACAUUGGGACUGAGAUACGGCCCAGACUCCUACGGGAGGCAGCAGUGGGGAAUAUUGCACAAUGGGCGGAAGCCUGAUGCAGCAACGCCGCGUGCGGGAUGACGGCCUUCGGGUUGUAAACCGCUUUCGCCUGUGACGAAGCGUGAGUGACGGUAAUGGGUAAAGAAGCACCGGCUAACUACGUG